GGAUGUGAGAAGGAUCUGACUGUGACACUGUUCACACAGCUGAUUGCCAGAGUUCAUUCAGUUGAUCUGGCCGUCUAGAUGGUGUCUCCUUCCUCUCUCACUCCUCCAUGUGCAUCCAUCCCUCCCAAGCUCUGUCCAAGAGAACGAUCUUCCCUGGUACUCCUUACAUGCCCCAGCAGAGCUAGGCGCUCCUGUACUCUGCAAAAUGGAAUGGGAUAUAUUGCUGGACAGCAGCUGAUAAGGACAGAAAGGAAAGAGCAUGGUGCCCGGUGGGUGCCAGAUGCUGUGC
This 289-nucleotide small RNA is filed under the name Marmota marmota marmota (Alpine marmot). Its description in RNAcentral is "7SK RNA (ENSMMMG00000018226.1)". The stretch from base 1 to 155 matches the Rfam family "7SK RNA". Rfam says of the family: 7SK was discovered as an abundant small nuclear RNA in the mid-70s but a possible function has only recently been suggested. Lineage: Eukaryota; Metazoa; Chordata; Mammalia; Rodentia; Sciuridae. The record is from RNAcentral.